GAAUGUAUAGCAAUAGCUAAUUGCAUCAAUGUUUAAAUAAUGCAAUAUCGACUCUGUCGAAUAAAAUUCUAGGUAGAAUUAUGAUAAUGACAUUGUCUGCCUAUGUGUCUUGACCAAAUUACGUGCCAGCAGUCGCGGUAAUACGUAGAAGACUAGUGUUAUUCAUCUUUAAUAGGUUUAAAGGGUACCUAGACGGUAUAUCAAGCCUGACGGGACUAAUGUACUAGAGUUACUUAUGAGGGGGUUUUAAAGUACUGCUGGUGUAGAGAUGAAAUUCUGUCAUACCUUAUUUUGUAAAAAUACUAUGGCACAGGUAUAGGCGAAAGCAUCUCCUUAUGUGAUAGCUUUUUGUAGCGAACAGGAUUAGAUACCCCAAUAGUCAAAGCAGAAAAUGAUGAAUGUCAUAGAUUAGUUUAUUCUAUAAAUGAAAGUGUAAGCAUUCCACCUCAAGAGUAAUUUGGCAACAUUGGAACUGAAAUCAUUAGACCGUUUCUGAAACCAGUAGUGAAGUAUGUUGUUUAAUUUGAUAAUCCGCAAAAAACCUUACCAUGAAUAUUUACAAGCGUUGCACGGCUGUCUUCAGUUAAUGUCGUGAGAUUCUGGUUAGUUCCAUUAAUUAACGUAAACCCUUACUUUAUUUUUAUAUAGAGUUGUUCCCCGCUAGAUUGGAUAAGAUAACAGGGACUAAGACAAGUCAUC
This 699-nucleotide ribosomal RNA is filed under the name Carbonea supersparsa. Its description in RNAcentral is "SSU rRNA". It matches the Rfam family "Bacterial small subunit ribosomal RNA", at positions 359 to 1194 of the family's 1533-position model. The record is from RNAcentral. Lineage: Eukaryota; Fungi; Ascomycota; Lecanoromycetes; Lecanorales; Lecanoraceae.